RNAcentral lists this ribosomal RNA (300 nucleotides) under uncultured Natronobacterium sp. RNAcentral describes it as "partial 16S ribosomal RNA". It matches the Rfam family "Bacterial small subunit ribosomal RNA", at positions 495 to 795 of the family's 1533-position model. Lineage: Archaea; Methanobacteriati; Methanobacteriota; Halobacteria; Halobacteriales; Natrialbaceae. The record is from RNAcentral.
GGCUAACUGCGUGCCAGAAGCGAGGAGAAAACGGGGGGGGCAAACGUGAAUCGGAAUUACUGGGCGGAAAGCGCAAGCAGGCGGUCAAUUAAGUCAGAUGUGAAAGCCCCGAGCUUAACUUGGGAAUUGCAUCUGAAACUGGGUGGCUAGAGUCUUGUAGAGGGGGGUAGAAUUCCAUGUGGAGCGGUGAAAUGCGUAGAGAUGUGGAGGAAUACCGGUGGCGAAGGCGGCCCCCUGGACAAAGACUGACGCUCAGGUGCGAAAGCGUGGGGAGCAAACAGGAUUAGAUACCCGGGAGUC